RNAcentral lists this ribosomal RNA (492 nucleotides) under uncultured bacterium. Its description in RNAcentral is "partial 16S ribosomal RNA". It matches the Rfam family "Bacterial small subunit ribosomal RNA", at positions 29 to 507 of the family's 1533-position model. The record is from RNAcentral.
AGUGAACGCUGGCGGUAGGCCUAACACAUGCAAGUCGAACGGCAGCACAGUAAGAGCUUGCUCUUACGGGUGGCGAGUGGCGGACGGGUGAGGAAUACAUCGGAAUCUACUUUUUCGUGGGGGAUAACGUAGGGAAGCUUACGCUAAUACCGCAUACGACCUACGGGUGAAAGCAGGGGAUCUUCGGACCUUGCGCGAUUGAAUGAGCCGAUGUCGGAUUAGCUAGUUGGCGGGGUAAAGGCCCACCAAGGCGACGAUCCGUAGCUGGUCUGAGAGGAUGAUCAGCCACACUGGAACUGAGACACGGUCCAGACGCCUACGGGAGGCAGCAGUGGGGAAUAUUGGACAAUGGGCGCAAGCCUGAUCCAGCCAUACCGCGUGGGUGAAGAAGGCCUUCGGGUUGUAAAGCCCUUUUGUUGGGAAAGAAAAGCAGCAGGUUAAUACCCCGCUGUUCUGACGGUACCCAAAGAAUAAGCACCGGCUAACUUCGUG